Molecule: ribosomal RNA, 253 nt
Filed under: uncultured bacterium
Lineage: Bacteria
Description: partial 16S ribosomal RNA
Rfam family: Bacterial small subunit ribosomal RNA
Source: RNAcentral
UACGGGGGGGGCAAGCGUUGUUCGGAAUUACUGGGCGUCAAGGGCUCGUAGGCGGCCAACUAAGUCGGAUGUGAAAUCCCCAGGCUUAACCUGGGAACUGCAUCCGAUACUGGAUGGCUUGAAUCCGGGAGAGGGAUGCAGAAUUCCAGGUGUAGCGGUGAAAUGCGUAGAUAUCUGGAGGAAUACCGGUGGCGAAGGCGGCAUCCUGGACCGGCAUUGACGCUGAGGAGCGAAAGCUAGGGGAGCAAACGGG